UUCUAUUGAAUUAAAAAACCAUUCAACCUCCAUAUUACAUUUAUAUAAUUCAAAUUAGAUUGAACACAAAGGAAAUCCAUCCAAAUUUACAUACUAAGCUACCAAACUCCCAAUAAUGAAAAUGUAGUAAUUAAAUUAUACCAUAACAAAAUUUUAAUUACUUCAAAUUAGGUAUGGAUUUCAUACCUUAAAUCUCUUAUUUCCAAGUAAUCCCAACUUGAUAUCCUCCAAGUUAUCCUAAUCUUUAAUUCCCACUUGUCCAAGCUUCCUCAGACUCACAAUUUCUUCACUUAAUCCUACUUGAAAAAAUUUCAAAAUUUAUCCAAAUUGGAGAAGGGAGGCCACGGUUUUUGGAAAGAAGAAUGAUAACAAUUGUUAAGUCAAAAAUUCUUGGUGCCUAAGUUUUGA
This 408-nucleotide long non-coding RNA is filed under the name Panax ginseng (ginseng). RNAcentral describes it as "long non-coding RNA (PGIN_LNC017740)". Lineage: Eukaryota; Viridiplantae; Streptophyta; Magnoliopsida; Apiales; Araliaceae. The record is from RNAcentral.